UACGUAGGGUGCGAGCGUUAAUCGGAAUUACUGGGCGUAAAGCGUGCGCAGGUGGUUAUGCAAGACAGAUGUGAAAUCCCCGGGCUCAACCUGGGAAUUGCAUUUGUGACUGCAUGGCUAGAGUGUGGCAGAGGGGGAUGGAAUUCCGCGUGUAGCAGUGAAAUGCGUAGAUAUGCGGAGGAACACCGAUGGCGAAGGCAGUCCCCUGGGCCUGCACUGACACUCAUGCACGAAAGCGUGGGGAGCAAACGGG
RNAcentral lists this ribosomal RNA (253 nucleotides) under uncultured bacterium. RNAcentral describes it as "partial 16S ribosomal RNA". It matches the Rfam family "Bacterial small subunit ribosomal RNA", at positions 524 to 776 of the family's 1533-position model. The record is from RNAcentral.